GAAAAGAAAGUAAUAUGUCAAAGAAGCAAGCUUGGGGUUGAAGAGAAGAACCUCUCCAAUCUCAUCUCAGAUAAAUAUUUUUUAAAAAAAAAAGGAAAAAAGGAAGAUUUUAAAAAAGUUUCUAAUAAUUUUAGAUUAAAAAAUUAUUUUAAAAGAGAAGGAAGGAAAUUACAAGGAGUAAAGUGAUUAGGUUCUGUAAUAAUUUAGCAAGCAAGAGCAGUUGGGCAGUAGUUAGUGUGUCUUUUAAAAUCAUACAUGUCACCUGUUGGCUUGAGCAGGUAAGCCAAGGCGUCUCUCUCUCUCUCUCUCUCUCUUCUUUUGUGCAUGUUUUUCUCUCUCUUGUUAAUGUCUUUCUAGGUUCAUAGGGGAAGUCUACAUUGUCUGUGAUCUAUUUGAAUAAUAAAGGUUGGUAUUUGAUUCUUGCUUUACUGUUUGUGGAAAUACCCAAUUGGUGAAUUUGGUUUUUCUUGUCAAAUUUAAGCAAGCAUUUGAUGCUCUUGGAGGUACUAUCAAAUGCCCAUUUAGGGGACUGUGAAUGAAACUCUGUUUCAUUUCGGUUUUUGCAUAAUUCAAGUAGAAUUUGAUGCUUUUUGGCCUUAUCUGGAAUCCCAUCUGAGAAUAUCUCAAAAGGUUCUCUGCAACUUCCCUUUUCUUGGUUACUUGGGGUUGUUGGCCCUUCUGAUUCAAAACUUGAACAACUAAUCUUUUCAAUUCUCUACCACCAUUUUUUUUUUUCUAAUUCCAUAUUCACCCCUUUAGAGUUUUGAGUUCUUCCUCCUGAGUUAGCUCCUAAAUGAAGAGAUUCAAAGACUGCUAAAUGAUAUUACUAAUACAUUGGUGUAUUAAAUGAGUGGAGCUGCUUUCUUGUGCAAGCAAAAGUGAAAAGGGAAUCUGCUUUCCUUUUGUAAGGUCUGGUGAGCUGUUAGUUGGCUAAUGCAAUUGUUUGUCUACGUCUACUUUAUGCUCUGAAAGGUUCACUUUCUUGUCUGUGGGAAGCAUUUUCCGAUUUUUGCCUUGCAUAUUAGAGUAGACUUGAUUCUAGGGUUUUUGAAAGACCAAGUUAGUAGCUGGUGCUGGUUAGAUUUUAUGCUUGAUACAUUGGAUUUCCUCUUUUUCACUUUGUGUGUCCAUGGGAUGCUGCAUUGAGGUGUUUCUUUUACUUUAGCAUCCCCCCAGUUCUAUAAAGCUGCCAAUGUUACUUGUUCCUUGUUGAGUCCUGCAAGAUAUCACCAGCCAAUUUUGGUCAAACCCACUUUGCCUUUAAUUUUUUUUUUACUUCUUUCUAUUUUGUGUCUAUAUUUAGCUUUUUAUUAGCCAAUCUGUUGGGUUGGGGUGUCCACAAAAUCAUAGAUAGGUUUUGUUCCUUAGAAUUUGGGGGGUUUUGCUUUUGAAUCUACCACAACAUGGGCAGUACUAGUGAUAACAAUGAUGGUAUGGCGUUUCAAAGUGGAGGGCAAAGUGUUAUGAAUUGUCAGUCUUCAGGCAUGACCACAAAUCCCUUCUUUGCUUCUCCUGCUUGGGAUCCAGUUGUUUCACUAGGUCAGCAUGACAGUUUUGGAGGUUCAUCAAUGGUCACUCAAACUGAAUUUACCAAUUCUUCUUACCCUGUUGUGAUGGAAAACCAGGGAAUCACUACCACUUCCCAUCUUGUUCAUUACCCAUCUGAUUCAAGUUAUGUUGAGCUGGUACCCAAGUUCCCUUCUUAUGGAAGUGGAAGCUUCUCAGAAAUGGUUAGCUCCUUUCAUCUCACAGAUUGUGGUCCCCAGAUUGCCAAUACUGGGUCCCAUCCUAAUUACGCCUCAAACAAGGACCCGAAUAGUGAAAGGACUGUGACAAAUGGUGCACAAUCUCAAGAGGAUCAUCAAUUAACAGAGGAUCAUAUUUUAGGAGCUUCACCUGAUGGAAAGAGAAGGAAAAGAUUGGCUGAGCCCAAUUCUGCUUUUGAUCCAAAUAAGACUGCUGAAGGAGAGCCACAGAAGGAUCCUUCUGGAAAUAGCUCUGAUUUUCAAAAAGAACAGGAUGAGAAGAAACCAAGAACUGAACAAAAUACAGGUGCUAAUUUGCGGGGUAAACAAGCAGCCAAACCAACUAAGGACAAUUCUAACAGUGGAGAAGCUCCCAAAGAGAAUUACAUUCAUGUGAGAGCGAGAAGGGGUCAGGCUACCAAUAGCCACAGCCUUGCAGAAAGGGUCAGAAGAGAAAAGAUUAGUGAGAGGAUGAGAUUACUACAAGAACUUGUUCCUGGAUGCAAUAAGAUUACUGGAAAGGCAGUGAUGCUUGACGAAAUCAUCAAUUAUGUGCAAUCAUUGCAACAACAGGUCGAGUUUUUAUCGAUGAAACUUGCCACUGUGAAUCCAGAACUAAACAUAGAUAUUGAGAGGAUUUUAUCCAAAGAUGUAAGCCAAGAUCCUCCAUCCACGAGGCGGCAAUUCUGCUUUUAUGGGAUUCACUCCUGGAAUGAAUGCUCAUCCUUAUUCUCAUGGAAUGUUUCCAUCAACCAUUCCUGCUAUUCCUAAUACUAAUCCACAAUUUCCUCAUGUCCCUCAUACUGUAUUAGACAACGAUCUCCAAAGUCUUUUCCAAAUGGGAUUUGAUUCCAGUUCUGCUAUGGAUAGUUUGGGACCCAAUGGGCGCAUGAAACCGGAGCUCUAGAAUUUGGAAGAGACAAAAGGCUCUAAUUCCUCCUAACAAAGAAUUGGAAGUAGUUCAAGUUGAUUUGCACAUUGAAGAUCUAGGAAAUGAAAAAAAAAAAAAAAGAACAGUGAAAAAAAAAAGAAAGAAAAGCUAUUUGCUUGUAUAGGUUUCAGCUCCUAACUGCUUUGUUCUUCGAAAUUUUAGCAGAAGAAAUGAUCAAGUGUUUAGAAUCACACAAAUGUAUAUUUUUAGACAAAAAAAAAAGGGGAGAGUUUGAUUGAAGUUCCAUUUUUUUUUUCUUUGGCAGUUGGCCUUGUGAAUUAGAGGAGGUUCAUAUGGAGCUUUGUAAAAGUGUAUUUUCCUUGGGGAGAAAAGAGUUUCUUGUAGACUAGAUCAAGCUGCCAAGUUAAUUCCCAUAUAUACUGCUUUGAUGCAGGUUUUGUCAUAUUUUAUCUGAACUGCGACAUUGUCUUUAAUUUAUCUAUUUGUCGUUUUUAUCUU
This is an RNA transcript of Jatropha curcas, 3135 nucleotides long. It is a transcript of the gene named basic helix-loop-helix (bHLH) DNA-binding superfamily protein, with no coding region annotated. NCBI's taxonomy places the organism in Eukaryota, Viridiplantae, Streptophyta, Magnoliopsida, Malpighiales, Euphorbiaceae. The record is from RefSeq and is a predicted model, not a curated record.